This 69-nucleotide transfer RNA is filed under the name Quadrella coronata. RNAcentral describes it as "tRNA-Leu". Lineage: Eukaryota; Metazoa; Arthropoda; Malacostraca; Decapoda; Trapeziidae. The record is from RNAcentral.
ACUAUUUUGGCAGAAAAUAUGCUCUAGAUUUAGGAUCUAGUUAAAUAGAGUAAAAGUCUAUAAGUAGUU